AACGCACAUUGCGCCCGCCAGUACUCUGGCGGGCAUGCCUGUUCGAGCGUCAUUUCAACCCUCAAGCCCCCGGCUUGGUGUUGGGGCCCUGCGGCUGCCGCAGGCCCCGAAAUGGAGUGGCGGGCUCGCGGCGAUCUCCGAGCGUAGUAGAAUCCUAUCUCGCUAGGGAGGCGCGGCGCGCUCCGGCCGUUAAAGGAACUUCUUUUAACCCAAGGUUGACCUCGGAUCAGGUAGGAAUACCCGCUGAACUUAA
This 253-nucleotide unclassified non-coding RNA is filed under the name uncultured Sordariomycetes. Its description in RNAcentral is "sequence contains ITS2". The stretch from base 1 to 52 matches the Rfam family "5.8S ribosomal RNA", at positions 103 to 154 of the family's 154-position model. The record is from RNAcentral. Lineage: Eukaryota; Fungi; Ascomycota; Sordariomycetes.